This 253-nucleotide ribosomal RNA is filed under the name uncultured bacterium. RNAcentral describes it as "partial 16S ribosomal RNA". It matches the Rfam family "Bacterial small subunit ribosomal RNA", at positions 524 to 776 of the family's 1533-position model. The record is from RNAcentral.
GACGUAGGGGACGAGCGUUGUCCGGAUUUAUUGGGCGUAAAGAGCGCGUAGGCGGCUUGGUAAGUCGGAUGUGAAAUCCCGGGGCUCAACCCCGUGACUGCACCCGAAACUGCCCGGCUAGAGGUAGGUAGGGGAGAUCGGAAUUCCUGGUGUAGCGGUGAAAUGCGUAGAUAUCCGGAGGAACACCGGUGGCGAAGGCGGCUUCCUGGACCGACACUGACGCUGAGGCGCGAAAGCUAGGGGAGCAAACGGG